Molecule: ribosomal RNA, 531 nt
Filed under: uncultured Bacteroidota bacterium
Lineage: Bacteria; Pseudomonadati; Bacteroidota
Description: bacterial SSU rRNA
Rfam family: Bacterial small subunit ribosomal RNA
Source: RNAcentral
GCAAGACUGACCCAGCCAUGCCGCGUGCAGGAAGACGGCCCUCUGGGUUGUAAACUGCUUUUAUCUGGGAAGAAAAAGUCCAUGCGUGGAAAAUUGCCGGUACCAGAUGAAUAAGCACCGGCUAACUCCGUGCCAGCAGCCGCGGUAAUACGGAGGGUGCAAGCGUUGUCCGGAUUUAUUGGGUUUAAAGGGUGCGUAGGCGGCUGAAUAAGUCAGCGGUGAAAGACUUCGGCUUAACCGGAGCAGUGCCGUUGAUACUGUUUAGCUUGAGUGUUGGAGGGGUACAUGGAAUUGAUGGUGUAGCGGUGAAAUGCAUAGAUACCAUCAGGAACACCGAUAGCGAAGGCAUUGUACUGGCCAACAACUGACGCUGAGGCACGAAAGUGUGGGGAUCGAACAGGAUUAGAUACCCUGGUAGUCCACACCGUAAACGAUGAUUACUCGCUGUUAUGCUGUAUAGUGUAGCGGCCAAGCGAAAGCGUUAAGUAAUCCACCUGGGGAGUACGCCGGCAACGGUGAAACUCAAAUGAA